CAGCCGCCGCGGUAAUACAGAGGGUGCAAGCGUUAAUCGGAAUUACUGGGCGUAAAGCGUGCGUAGGUGGUGGUUUAAGUCCGUUGUGAAAGCCCUGGGCUCAACCUGGGAAUUGCAGUGGAUACUGGGUCACUAGAGUGUGGUAGAGGAUAGUGGAAUUUCCGGUGUAGCAGUGAAAUGCGUAGAGAUCGGAAGGAACAUCUGUGGCGAAGGCGACUAUCUGGGCCAACACUGACACUGAGGCACGAAAGCGUGGGGAGCAAACAGGAUUAGAUACCCCCGUAGUCCCUGUCUCUUAUAC
Molecule: ribosomal RNA, 301 nt
Filed under: uncultured bacterium
Lineage: Bacteria
Description: partial 16S ribosomal RNA
Rfam family: Bacterial small subunit ribosomal RNA
Source: RNAcentral